AGGGGGAGGCCGGAUCCUGGGCUGUAUCCUGGUGCCCAGUGCUCCGGAGCCUGCGCUGUUGGAUUCGUGCUCCUGGUGGCGCAGCGCCUCU
This is a non-coding RNA of Canis lupus familiaris (dog), 91 nucleotides long. Lineage: Eukaryota; Metazoa; Chordata; Mammalia; Carnivora; Canidae. The record is from Rfam.